This 254-nucleotide ribosomal RNA is filed under the name uncultured bacterium. RNAcentral's name for it is "partial 16S ribosomal RNA". It matches the Rfam family "Bacterial small subunit ribosomal RNA", at positions 524 to 776 of the family's 1533-position model. The record is from RNAcentral.
AACGUAGGACGCAAGCGUUAUCCGGAGUUACUGGGCGUAAAGGGCGCGUAGGCGGCCACCGCAAGUCGGUUGUGAAAUCUCCGGGCUUAACCCGGAAAGGUCAACUGAUACUGCGGGGCUAGAGUGCAGAAGGGGCAACUGGAAUUCUCGGUGUAGCGGUGAAAUGCGUAGAUAUCGAGAGGAACACCUGCGGCGAAGGCGGGUUGCUGGGCUGACACUGACGCUGAGGCGCGAAAGCCAGGGGAGCGAACGGG